AUGCCACACAUACACAUACCACACACAUGCCACACAAACACUUCAUGCAUGUACACACACCAUGGAUACACCACACCAUACACAUGCCACAUACACAAACGUAUACCACAUAAACACCACACAUACCACACAUGCACACACCACACACAUACACACACAUACCACACCCACACACACCACACCACACACACCACACAUUCCACAUAUACACCACAUAUUAUAUACACACCACACAUGCACACAUCACACACAUACACACACCAUACCACACCCAUACCACACACACUCCACACAUACAUACACCACAUAGACACCACACCAUACACAUACCACACACAUACUGCACAAUACACAUACCACACAUAUGCAUCACAUUACAUACACACACCACACACACUACACUCACAUACAUACCACACUACACAUACCAUACCGUAUACUACUCACAUAUGUAGCACACACACACAUACCACACAAGCAGACACAGAUACCCCAUAUACAAGAUACGAACAUUCACCAGACAUAUACACCAUUCAACACAUGCCACACACAUACCACACACAUACACAAUCCACACAUACAUACACACCAAACCUACAUAUACUACAUCCACAUACAUGCACCAUACUUACAAUACACAUAUACACACACCACACGCACACUGCACACAUACACACCACACACUAUACCACACACACCACACACACCACACACACACCACACACAUGCCACACACACCACACAUACACACCACACACAUGCCACACACACCACACCACACACAUGCCACACACACCACACACAUACACACCACACACAUACUGCACAAUACACAUACCACACAUACACACAUACACACACCACACAUACAUACCACAAACAUAUACACACCACACACAUUCACACAUACCACACUACACAUACACCACACACCACAUGUACACACACAUACCACACCACACACACCACACCACACAUACACACACCACACACAUACAAACAUAUACCACAUAA
Molecule: long non-coding RNA, 1014 nt
Filed under: Felis catus (domestic cat)
Lineage: Eukaryota; Metazoa; Chordata; Mammalia; Carnivora; Felidae
Description: lncRNA (ENSFCAG00000049256.1)
Source: RNAcentral